GUUUUGAAUCAAUGAACACAGGCACAC
This 27-nucleotide non-coding RNA is filed under the name Cricetulus griseus (Chinese hamster). Lineage: Eukaryota; Metazoa; Chordata; Mammalia; Rodentia; Cricetidae. The record is from RNAcentral.